AUGGGAGCUCCUGCUGACCCGGGAGCUCUGCAGCGGCCAAGGAGCUGGUUCGAUCCCAGACACAGCGCAGCAGGUAGAGGAUCCGGCACUGCCACAGCUAUGGCGUCGGUCACAACCGCAGCUCGGGUUCAAUCCCGGCCCAGGAACUUCCAUGUUCUGAGGACGUGGCCAUUAAAAAAAAAAAAAGAAAAAAAGAAGAAAAAAGGAGAGAAGAAGGAAAGUGAGAGCCUUGACAGCACAGACGACGUCAAGCCGAACAAGCACCGCCGUCUCUUCAGGCGCGGUGAUCCCGGCUGUGCAGCAGGGACCUGGCAGACACCCCUCCUCCAGGCCGCUGAGCUUGGACACCAGGAGUCCCGGCAACGGCUGCACAUAACCGGGUGUGACGCGAAGGCCCUUCACCUCUGGGGCCCCCUCCCUCCAGCACCAAAACCCCUUCCCUGCUGGCCUGCUGGCCUCCAGAUCCACCGCGGCUGCCGAAAACAGCAGCCCGAGGGGACGGGACAGCUCAGUGCAACGGGGUGUGUGGGGGGCGGGGGUGCCUGGGACAGAAGCGGGACCCCAGGCAAGGACGCCGUGAGGCCCCGCAGAGUCCGAGUGAGAAGUACAGAGCGUGGAGCUGCGGGCUGGGCCGCGGGGGAGCGCCCACCACACAACACUGCCCCCAAGGACACGGCCACCAGAGAGGCCGUGGGGAGCUGUCAGCCCGAGGGAGGCAGCCGAAGGGGCAGCGCAAGCCACAAGGGGCCGCAGCCGGUGCGAGGCGACAGCACGAGGCGGGAAGGGAGGCGGCAGGCAGGGCCGCUGGGGAGCAGAGGAGGCCUCCGCACUCGGCCACCCGCCCCGCGGGCGCCUGGUGUGAGCGGCCGUCAAAGGGGCGCCUGCGGGACGGGGCUUUGCACAAAGCGCCCCCCAGCUGUGGGCUGCCCGCAGGCGACCCUCCGGGCAGGAAAGACAGGACGGAGGGCCCGGAAGACGCAGGAGGAUCCGCAGGCUGUUGCCGGCCCAGAGAGCCGCUACGGGCACAGUGCAGACUGUGGUCAGCGGUGGGACACCAGGUUGCCGUGUUCCCGUCGAGGCGCAGCGGCAACGACCCCAAGGAUCCAUGAGGACGCACUUCCAUCCCUGGCCCCGCUCAGCGGGUUAAGGAUCCGGCGUGGCCGUGAGCUCUGUGGGGGAGGCCGGCAGCGGCAGCGGCAGCUCUGA
This 1206-nucleotide long non-coding RNA is filed under the name Sus scrofa (pig). RNAcentral describes it as "lncRNA (ENSSSCG00070007997.1)". The record is from RNAcentral. Lineage: Eukaryota; Metazoa; Chordata; Mammalia; Artiodactyla; Suidae.